Molecule: ribosomal RNA, 867 nt
Filed under: uncultured bacterium
Lineage: Bacteria
Description: bacterial SSU rRNA
Rfam family: Bacterial small subunit ribosomal RNA
Source: RNAcentral
GGCUUAGAGUUUGAUCAUGGCUCAGGAUGAACGCUAGCUACAGGCUUAACACAUGCAAGUCGAGGGGCAGCGGGAUUGAAGCUUGCUUCAAUUGCCGGCGACCGGCGCACGGGUGAGUAACGCGUAUCCAACCUUCCGCUUACUCGGGGAUAGCCUUUCGAAAGAAAGAUUAAUACCCGAUUGUAUCUUAAGCACGCAUGAGAUUAAGAUUAAAGAUUUAUCGGUAAGCGAUGGGGAUGCGUUCCAUUAGGCAGUUGGCGGGGUAACGGCCCACCAAACCUACGAUGGAUAGGGGUUCUGAGAGGAAGGUCCCCCACAUUGGAACAGAGACACGGUCCAAACUCCUACGGGAGGCAGCAGUGAGGAAUAUUGGUCAAUGGGCGAGAGCCUGAACCAGCCAAGUAGCGUGAAGGAUGACGGCCCUACGGGUUGUAAACUUCUUUUGUGCGGGAAUAAAGGAGCCUACGUGUAGGCUUUUGCAUGUACCGUAACGAAUAAGCAUCGGCUAACUCCGUGCCAGCAGCCGCGGUAAUACGGAGGAUGCGAGCGUUAUCCGGAUUUAUUGGGUUUAAAGGGAGCGUAGACGGGUUUUUAAGUCAGCUGAGAAAGUUUGGGGCUCAACCUUAAAAUUGCAGUUGAAACUGGAGACCUUGAGUACGGUUGAGGCAGGCGGAAUUCGUGGUGUAGCGGUGAAAUGCUUAGAUAUCACGAAGAACCCGAUUGCGAAGGCAGCUGCUAAGCGCACUGACGUUGAGCUCGAAGUGCGGGUAUCAAACAGAUUAGAUACCCUGGUAGUCCGCACGGUAAACGAUGGAUACUCGCUGUUGNGAUAGACGUCAGCGCNAGCGAAAGCGUUAGUANUCUACC